GAUGAACGCUAGCUACAGGCUUAACACAUGCAAGUCGAGGGGCAGCAUGGUCUUAGCUUGCUAAGGCCGAUGGCGACCGGCGCACGGGUGAGUAACACGUAUCCAACCUGCCGUCUACUCUUGGACAGCCUUCUGAAAGGAAGAUUAAUACAAGAUGGCAUCAUGAGUCCGCAUGUUCACAUGAUUAAAGGUAUUCCGGUAGACGAUGGGGAUGCGUUCCAUUAGAUAGUAGGCGGGGUAACGGCCACCUAGUCUUCGAUGGAUAGGGGUUCUGAGAGGAAGGUCCCCCACAUUGGAACUGAGACACGGUCCAAAACUCCUACGGGAGGCAGCAGUGAGGAAUAUUGGUCAAUGGGCGAGAGCCUGAACCAGCCAAGUAGCGUGAAGGAUGACUGCCUAUGGGUUGUAAACUGCUUUUAUAAGGGUAUAAAGUGGGAGUCGUGACUCUUUUUGCAUGUACCUUA
Molecule: ribosomal RNA, 464 nt
Filed under: uncultured bacterium
Lineage: Bacteria
Description: bacterial SSU rRNA
Rfam family: Bacterial small subunit ribosomal RNA
Source: RNAcentral